Polyodon spathula (Mississippi paddlefish) is the source of this 5257-nucleotide long non-coding RNA. RefSeq lists it as uncharacterized. Lineage: Eukaryota; Metazoa; Chordata; Actinopteri; Acipenseriformes; Polyodontidae. The record is from RefSeq and is a predicted model, not a curated record. The transcript has 2 exons.
UAAUAGUCCUGCUCACAGAGAGAGAGAGAGAGAGAGAGGAGGAAGAAGGAGGCUGCUGUCUGAAUCAGCACUUCAUUCUUGUCUUUUUCUCUCUCUCUCUCCCUCUCUGUGUCAUAUUUUCUUUUAUUAACUACUAAAGGUGGUGUGGGAGACUGCACUACCUCCAUUCCUCUAUCCUUCAUUUCACAUUCUUCCCCCUCGUUCGCUCUUUCUUUCUCCCCCCACCUCGAUGCCCCACUCUCUCACGAUGAAGAGAUGAAGAGCAAUGAAUAGAGGACAUGAAGACAGUGUGUGCUGCAGCGUUGAGAAGGGAGGACAUCACACCUGGGUUCAGAGCAUAUCUCUCUUCGCUCUCUUUUUCCUCCCAACUCUUAGCUCUCAACACAGGCUGCUUUUUCGGCGCCAAGAGCCACAGAGACAUGGAAAGGAUUAUAGAUUUUCUUUGAAAAUGAAUUUGCAUGGACUGCUUUAUGGACUACCAAAACAAAUCAAACAGGAAACUCCUUUCUAAGAGAAAUUAAAAGCUUGUAAAAGAAAAUUAAUUUACUCCUGAAGUAAAAAAAUAUAUAUUUCAACGUUGUUUUUUUUAAGCAACUGGAAGAAAGAAAAAAAAUUGUUCCUUCAAAUUUGACAGAUUUUGUAUUGAAUGAGCACACCUUGUGAUUCCUAAGUCACUCUCUUCGAACUGAUACUCAAGCAUCUUAAAGAAAACUCAUUCUUCAGAACAAAAGUGGAAACUACUUUUAAAGACAAAAAUACAGGUUUACUUUUCAUUCAGCUUUGAAAAAAGUAUUUUUUUUUAAAUUGGAAAACGGAAAAAACAACCGAAGGGAAAAAAAGUUGAUUCUUUCUGUGGCAAACUUAUCAAGAACACCAAGUAACCACUCAGCCUAGCCUGUGAGCCAUCACAGAACAGAAGAAAAGGCAGAAUCUUUUUUUUUCUUUUCUUAACAUUUUUUUCCCCAGCGAGGGCACUGUGCCAAUUUUUAAAAAGGAGGAGUUCGAGAAAAAGGGGGAUUUGGCGACGGCGGGACUUUUUCAUUAUUUUUUUCCCUCUCUUUAUUCACGGAGGCUUUUCAACCGAAGAGAAGGUGGUUAAACUGUAAUCCAGUGACGCUUUGUCAGCCAGUGCUUGCUGAUUUUCUCAUUGAUUGGCUGUCUACUUCAGACACUCUCCCUCUCGCUCUCUCGCUCCCUCUUUCUCUCUCUCUCUCACUGUCUUUCUCCGCACUGUUGGUUAGGGUGGGAGCAGUUUUUUUCCCAGCCUAGAGAGUCUAGGAAAGCAGGAAAUAAGCAAGUUGAGCGCCAUACUUGACAGUAGGUGUGACCUCCCUGGCAGCAGCAGCGGGCGAUGUCCGGGUUCACUUUCGCCUGCUUCUGCGGCCUGCACAGCUUCUGCAACAGGAAGCGGAAAAAAAAACAAGAGCGGCAACGUGAGCAGGAGACGGUGGUGUGACUGAGCCACGCGCACCUGCUGGGGGUGCCACUGAGCUCUCCCUGCCCCACCCUGCUGUCAACUCAAACCACACUGCCCUCCAGUGACUGCUCAACAGAGAGCUCAGUGCACUGCGAUCACCCAGGGGCAGUGAGGGAGGGGUUUGUAACCUCCAAGGUGAGGUCACCAGGUUUGUUACCACAGUGAUUUCAAAUCCUAGUGCUCGGGGAAACCACUAACCAAAGCCCAUUAGGGUUGCCACCUAUCCCUGUCUUCCCUGCAUAGUUCUGGUUUUCUGGAAGGCACCCCAGGAUUUCAAUAUGCCUUCCCAGGACACUAAGAGUUCCUGGUUUUUAAAAUGAUCCCGUUUUUAAUCUUAUACUUCCAUAUAGAUAUACUACAGCAAUGCCAGUACUGUAAGUUAGAUCAAUCAAGAUCUUAUAUCAUUGCUGCAAUAGAUGCACUAUAUUAAUUGGUUGUCAAUACUACAAUUGUAAUGUUAUCAGUGUUACCUAUUGGAUGGCUGUAGGAUUUCUAGACAGUUUAAACUUUUAAAACCGUUCUGUUCAGAUGUCCCAGUUUUUGUGCCUCGGAGGUGGUAACCCUAAAGCUCAUAUGCCAGGCAAUUUUUACAAAACUUUUUCUGGGACAUUUUAAAGCAAGUGGUCGCCUACAACAAGGUGCUUCGUAAGUAUGUAGAAGCACCAUGCCCAAAAGUUGCCUCAUGUUUCAUGGGCAUAACUUGAAGCCAUAAUAAAUGCAAGGCCAGUGAAGAACAGGCAGCUUGUUCCUGCUACUUUUAAACGAAUUUGCUGGUGUUGCCAUUCAUAGGACAAGCAAAGAUCAAGUGAUAAAAGUCAUAAUUCGUGGUUUGAGAAUCUCAAAUAUAGCUGCUUUUAAAGGUGCCAGAAAAACCCUGGAAAGUUGUCUUGUGUUUUUGGCUAAUGUCUUCGAGUAGAAGUACUCUAUAGUGAUAUAAUUAUAAUUGAACACAUUUAUUUCCAGGAUCUGUUCAAAGCUUGAAUUCACUCAUUUAACAAAGCCUCAACAUUAUGCCUAUACUGUGUGUACAUUGUGAUAUAUGAUUUCAUAUAAAACAUACCGCUUAUAAAGGUUCUCUGUGGUAUUGUGUACAACAGCAAAAGCACGAAGAUGCAGGGAAGGAUGGUAAAAGACAAAAAAUAUGGUGUAACGUUUACCAUGGAAAACCUUUAUAAGGGCAAUAAAACAAAUUAUUCUUCAAGCUGACGGUUCAUGCAGAAUGCAGGCAAUUUUAUCUGCAAAGGAAAGUACCUAAUGAAAUGCAUGACUGAACAAACUAAUACAAGUCCUGGUUGAAAGCUGCAGUUUGCUAGUGGUUCCUCUGGACUGGGGUUAGGGAUCACUGUGCUUAAGCACACAGGAUAAAGGUCUGGAGUUUUAAAAUAAUAUGUUAGUGUCUGUACAGCAUUGCCAUUGUCCUUUAGCAGUUCAGUUAUUCCAAUACUGGGGUCUAUUUAAUUGAUUCAAUGCAAGCUCUGGUUAAGCAUUCAAUUAUUUACUUUUAAAGACAGUCCCACACAAUGCUGGAUAUGUGUCAAAAUCCCAUUCUUUUAAACAGUAUGAUCAAACUAAAGAAAGAUAAAAAAAAAAAAACACACACACACACACACAAAGAAAAACAUAUUGGGAAGACAACCAGACUGAUCUGAAAUGACAGCAUUGCGGGAGUAGACUUAAUGUCACAGAUAGCUAGCAAUACAAACGUGCGCGUGCGUGUGUGUGUGUGUGUGUGUGUGUGUAUCUGUGUGUGUUUGUAACGUCAAUCUAACACCCUUCAUUCACAAUCACGUUUUUAUUAUAGUGUGAGUGGAGUCUGACGAUAUUGGUCCACGGCCAUUUGUGCUGGAUUCGCAAUGUAAGACAGCACUGUACUUCACAUUCACGUUGGACUGUAAAAAAAGUUCUGUCUGUGGAUCCAGCAUUAUUGCACGCUUUCCAAAAACAAUUCCUGUCUUCUCCAUUUAAACGGUGAUCGAUGUCAGCUUUCUUUUGUUUUAUAGCGUAAUAUUAAUACUUAGAUUUAAUAUGAAUGUGCAUGAAAGGUGCUCAAAUGACCAAUUCUCCAGUUAGAAUCGGUUUUAAAUGUUAUAUAACCUAUUUUACCUUUGCGCACAGCACAUCCUUGUGGCCAUGUGAUGCCUUGCGAAUUUUCGAUUACAUGUCAGCUUAUUUUCAAUUGGCAAGGUCCUGAAAGAUCUUCCAUGUUCAUUUUACAAAGGUUACUUUUAAAUAUCUCAGGAUCAGCUUUCCUGCAUGUCUCCAACUGCAAAUUUAUGGCACCAGGUUUCUGAAUCAGCACGUGUCUAAUCAUCUUGAACCUGUUUAUAAGCUAACCAGAUUUUUACAAUUAUCCCACCCCCCCCAAAAAAAAACAACAUACUUAUUUGCAUUACCUAAUUCAAGAACCUGCAGGUUGGCCCUUGAGGGGCCACCUGGGGCCCACAGGCUAAAGACUGCACAAUAAACUGAUUAGCAUUAUUGUAAUGCCUUUAGACGAGAAUAGUAUAGGGGUUCUGUGCACAACAGUAUCACAGCAGAGAACCUUAAUAAGUACAUGGUCUGUAUAGGCUAGUGCAGUGCCCUAUAGGAGAGUACAGUACAUUACAGGGCUUUAUAGUUAGAAUGAAUUGUAUACUAGCUUUAAUAUUAUACUUAGAAAGAUUAUUGCAAUCUAUAGCAGCAGCCUUAUACUGGAGGUAUAAACUUUACCAGGUAUACAAGAAAAACAACACCUUGUUUGAAUAAAUAUAUAUUGCAGAGUUUGUUCUGUCCGUAUGCAGUAUAUUGUUGUAUCACUAUAUUAGUCUGAAACUGCAAUAAGGCUGGCCUGCUGUGAGUGUCUUUGCGUUGAGAUUGACAGUGAUUGAUAUCUUCAAUAUAUUUCAAUUGAAUCUAAGUGAGCCAGGGCAAAAGACAAACCUGUUUCCCUUUGAAAUCAACCCAGUUAUGCAUUGCACCCCUGCCUAAUUUGCACUGUUUACAUUUCACUUAAUCUUUAAAAAGCCACCCUGUCUCUCCGCAUCUAGCCUAUUAUAUCCAUUUAUGUGCCUCAUUUGCAUCAUUCCUCUAAUGGUUUCAAGGGAAGCAAUGCCUCUCAAAAUCUCAAAAUGAAAAAAAAAAUUAAAAAUGAUAUAUAUAGUUUAUAUAUUUAACCAAACCCUAUAUUAACAGCAGCAUUGUCCACAGCACUGGCAAUGACCGGUGGCGUAGUCUGAGCCCUGGUUUUAAUUGGAGCAGCAGCUCAUAACCUCCCACCCCUGCUGAGGCACAGCUGCAUGCUUGAUUAUGAGUGAAGUGUUGAAUAAUGGCAAUCGUAUUCGUAUUCAGUUUUCUGAAGGAGAUUUUUAAAAGUGACCAGUAAAAAAAAACAAAUAAAUAAAAAAAAUUCCAUCACAACGGUAGAACAAAUUUAAAAUCUUGAGCAGCAUGUUGUUGACUGCGGGAGUUCUGCUGAUUGGAAACACCUUUCAGCCUGUACCAGAUAAACUACUAUUCCCAGAAGACACUGCAAACCCAGAGGCCUGCUCGGUAUAUCGUUACUUUGUUCAUCGUCUGUUUAAGUUUGGCGAAUUAAGUCUAUAUAGGUUGCUUGAUUUUUUUUUGUCUGCUUUUUCCUGCGGCAACAACUUUGUUCCGAAAAUCUUUUAUGCAAAGUAUGUUAGCGACGUGGUCUUGAAAUCAAAAUGCUAUAUCAAUUUUGUAUACAGUCCAUUUUCAAACGCGCGCUGAGAAUGUGUAACAGUUAAGUAUAUUACAAUAAACCAUGAUGUGUUACUGUCA